GAUGAACGCUGGCGGCGUGCCUAAUACAUGCAAGUCGAGCGAACAGACGAGGAGCUUGCUCCUCUGACGUUAGCGGCGGACGGGUGAGUAACACGUGGAUAACCUACCUAUAAGACUGGGAUAACUUCGGGAAACCGGAGCUAAUACCGGAUAAUAUAUUGAACCGCAUGGUUCAAUAGUGAAAGACGGUUUUGCUGUCACUUAUCGAUGGAUCCGCGCCGCAUUAGCUAGUUGGUAAGGUAACGGCUUACCAAGGCAACGAUGCGUAGCCGACCUGAGAGGGUGAUCGGCCACACUGGAACUGAGACACGGUCAAGACUCCUACGGGAGGCAGCAGUAGGGAAUCUUCCGCAAUGGGCGAAAGCCUGACGGAGCAACGCCGCGUGAGUGAUGAAGGUCUUCGGAUCGUAAAACUCUGUUAUUAGGGAAGAACAAAUGUGUAAGUAACUAUGCACGUCUUGACGGUACCUAAUCAGAAAGCCACGGCUAACUACGUG
RNAcentral lists this ribosomal RNA (497 nucleotides) under uncultured bacterium. RNAcentral describes it as "partial 16S ribosomal RNA". It matches the Rfam family "Bacterial small subunit ribosomal RNA", at positions 28 to 507 of the family's 1533-position model. The record is from RNAcentral.